RNAcentral lists this long non-coding RNA (201 nucleotides) under Nicotiana benthamiana. Its description in RNAcentral is "long non-coding RNA (NBEN_LNC000038)". The record is from RNAcentral. Lineage: Eukaryota; Viridiplantae; Streptophyta; Magnoliopsida; Solanales; Solanaceae.
UGGGUGUGGUGCUUUACAGUGAGGCAAAGAAGAGGUCUAAAGUAACAGCACACUGAUGAUUUGUAUGAAAGAUUCAAUCUUGAUGAUGUAAAAGAAAGUUACUACAAUAUUACCACGGGUGCGGGCUCUUUUUUUACUUUGCUUAUGCUUCUUUUCCUUUUUAUUAUUUGGUCUAAUUAGAAUUCAUUGAUCAAGGUGGGG